AAUAAUAUUUUACAUAACCAACCACUUCUAAAGAUUAAAAAAACCCCUACGAUUAAAAACCUCAGGUCCCUCAGGCAAUCAUACCAGAUAUUGAAACAAAGCAAUAACAUAAGGACUGCAGUAUUCAUUUUAUUUUUAUAUUAUUUAUUUAUUCUUCCUUAGUUUCUUGAGAUUAUCAUCCGCUGAGGGUGGAAGGGGAGUGAGCAGACACACUCAGGAGGUGUCUUGAGAUUAUCAUCCGCUGAGGGUGGAGCUGAGGGUGGAAGGGGAGUGAGCAGACACUCGGGAGGUGUCUUGAGAUUAUCAUCCGCUGAGGGUGGAAGGGGAUAGAGCACACACUCGGAAGGUGUCUUGAGGCUCAGGGAGUUAUCAAUUAUAGAAUGUUGUUGAGUUGGAGGAGGUGGCUGGGGAGUGAGCAGACACUCGGGAGGUGUCUUGAGAUUAUCAUCCGCUGAGGGUGGAAGGGGAUAGAGCACACACUCGGAAGGUGUCUUGAGGCUCAGGGAGUUAUCAAUUAUAGAAUGUUGUUG
RNAcentral lists this long non-coding RNA (530 nucleotides) under Homo sapiens (human). RNAcentral's name for it is "HSALNT0228352". The record is from RNAcentral. Lineage: Eukaryota; Metazoa; Chordata; Mammalia; Primates; Hominidae.